RNAcentral lists this unclassified non-coding RNA (240 nucleotides) under soil metagenome. Its description in RNAcentral is "partial contains 5.8S ribosomal RNA, internal transcribed spacer 2, and large subunit ribosomal RNA". The record is from RNAcentral.
AACCUAGCACACCUGCGGUGUGUACCUGCGGAAGGAUCAUCAUCGAAUUCAUAUCCCCCUCCUCUCCCGGAGGGGGACCUAUGAUAAGCCCUUCUGUGCACCGUUAAACCGUUCACUUUGGCAGGCUUUGGUGGCACACCUCCAACCUCGCGUGUUACGCGUGGCGGCCUGCCAGAGUCUCCCAUUAAAAACACGUUUUCGAACACGUCUGAAAAUUUCCUUUGAGAAAUCAAAGAACCG